GACGAACGCUGGCGGCGUGCUUAACACAUGCAAGUCGAACGAUGAAGCUAGAGCUUGCUCUGGUGAAUUAGUGGCGAACGGGUGAGUAACACGUGAGUAACCUGCCCCGAACUCUGGGAUAACUGCUGGAAACGGUAGCUAAUACUGGAUACGACCUACGAAGGCAUCUUCUGUAGGUGGAAAGAAUUUCGGUUCGGGAUGGACUCGCGGCCUAUCAGCUUGUUGGUGAGGUAAUGGCUCACCAAGGCGACGACGGGUAGCCGGCCUGAGAGGGUGACCGGCCAACCGGGGAGAGGGACACGGCCCAGACCCCUCGGGGGGGAAGCGGUGGGGAAUAUUGCACAAUGGGCGCAAGCUUGAUGCAGCAACGCCGGGUGGGGGAUGACGGCCUUCGGGUUGUAAACCUCUUUUAGUAGGAAAGAAGCGAAAGUGAGGGUACCUGCAGAAAAACCACCGCCUAACUACGUGCCAGCAGCCGCGGUAA
Molecule: ribosomal RNA, 484 nt
Filed under: uncultured bacterium
Lineage: Bacteria
Description: partial 16S ribosomal RNA
Rfam family: Bacterial small subunit ribosomal RNA
Source: RNAcentral